ACUACAGCCAACCCCUUCGCUUUUCCGUGUUCGUUAGUCUUAAGUGCAGCGGCAUUGGCUGCCCCUUCACGGUUGAUGCAUUGAGCAGUAGUUGUGCCCCGUUGCACUGCACACGUAGCCUGGUGCUCGAGUGGCAAUGGUAGGGGGCGGCUGCUGACCCUGAGCUGUUCUACCGCGGCUGUCACCAGAGGUGAACUCCGUUAAAAUGCUUGGUUUAAAGCGGCCAGUGCCCCAGUGGUUCCUCAAGCAAUCAGGGCUAAGUUCCAGGUCCCGUUCGGGUUUCCGGAGCGGUGCUGGGGAGCAGGGAGGUGUUGACUGCUCUGAUGAAAUCAUCUAUAGGAAGUGCCGUCAGAAGCGAUAACUGACGAUAACGUUCCUGGCUGACUGCGGUCAACAAGUCCUGCCCGGCUGCCGCUGCCCUGGAGUAGGUUGGUCUGGUUUGGACAGUGACCUUUUCUCGUCUGUUCACCCAGGUUGCACAUGAGUGCUGCGGGGUCACCUGUGUGUGAUCAGAUAAGACCAGCUGCUGAGUAGUGGAGGGAGGAGCACCGGCCUGCCCUUAAGGUUAAGGGAUGCCUCGGUUCAUUCCCCUCUGGGUUUUGUGUGCUGAAGAAUGGUGAUCGGCGGUGUGGAGUUUGAAAGCUCGUGGUGGCUGCAGCUCAGCCCAAGGAGAGGCUGUCUUUGCAGAGAAUGGUCAGCCAUGCUGCAGCAGGUUCAGAGUCCUGUGGUCACCAUCAGUUCGGACUGAAAACCCAGGCUUCAACAGUUGGUGUGGAAACGGUGCUU
Molecule: long non-coding RNA, 786 nt
Organism: Mustela erminea (ermine)
Lineage: Eukaryota; Metazoa; Chordata; Mammalia; Carnivora; Mustelidae
Exons: 3
Source: RefSeq, a predicted model, not a curated record